RNAcentral lists this ribosomal RNA (395 nucleotides) under uncultured bacterium. RNAcentral describes it as "partial 16S ribosomal RNA". It matches the Rfam family "Bacterial small subunit ribosomal RNA", at positions 523 to 918 of the family's 1533-position model. The record is from RNAcentral.
AUACGUAGGGGGCAAGCGUUGUCCGGAAUUACUGGGCGUAAAGCGCACGCAGGCUGACUUAUAAGUCGGUAGUCUAAUGCGGAGGCUCAACUUCCGUUUAUCUAUCGAUACUGUAAGACUAGAGUAUGUGAGAGGGAAGUGGAAUUCCCGGUGUAGCGGUGAAAUGCGUAGAUAUCGGGAGGAACAUCAGUGGCGAAGGCGACUUCCUGGCACAAUACUGACGCUCAUGUGCAAAAGCUAGGGUAGCGAACGGGAUUAGAUACCCCGGUAGUCCUAGCCGUAAACGAUGGAUACUAGGUGUGGGUGUCGCAGGGCAUCCGUGCCGCAGCUAACGCGUUAAGUAUCCCGCCUGGGGACUACGGUCGCAUGACUGAAACUCAAAUGAAUUGACGGGG